This 253-nucleotide ribosomal RNA is filed under the name uncultured bacterium. RNAcentral describes it as "partial 16S ribosomal RNA". It matches the Rfam family "Bacterial small subunit ribosomal RNA", at positions 524 to 776 of the family's 1533-position model. The record is from RNAcentral.
UACGUAGGGUGCGAGCGUUGUCCGGAAUUAUUGGGCGUAAAGGGCUCGUAGGCGGUUUGUCGCGUCUGCUGUGAAAACUCGGGGCUUAACUCCGGGCCUGCAGUGGGUACGGGCAGACUAGAGUGCGGUAGGGGAGACUGGAAUUCCUGGUGUAGCGGUGAAAUGCGCAGAUAUCAGGAGGAACACCGGUGGCGAAGGCGGGUCUCUGGGCCGUAACUGACGCUGAGGAGCGAAAGCGUGGGGAGCGAACAGG